This 277-nucleotide long non-coding RNA is filed under the name Sorghum bicolor (sorghum). RNAcentral describes it as "long non-coding RNA (SBIC_LNC014735)". Lineage: Eukaryota; Viridiplantae; Streptophyta; Magnoliopsida; Poales; Poaceae. The record is from RNAcentral.
GCCGAACGCAAUUCGGUCAGGGGUAACCGAAUUAAGUUUCCAGUGUGCCUUGGUGUUACAAACAGAAUUAGGUUGCUGUCAACCUAAUUAGGUACCUUAGUGUUUGCAACCAAAUAGGUUCCAUUGAACCUACAGGGAACCUAAUUAGGUUUACCGUGAACAGAAUUAGUGUUUCCCUAAUCCUAAUCUCUUUAGGACAAAUGUAUAGGUCAUCUUUUAUAAAACUGUACAUGUCAUCUAUAAAACACAUAUAUGCUCUUAAUAAAUUGACAAAAUU